This is an RNA transcript of Salvia splendens (bonfire salvia), 3006 nucleotides long. RefSeq lists it as uncharacterized. NCBI's taxonomy places the organism in Eukaryota, Viridiplantae, Streptophyta, Magnoliopsida, Lamiales, Lamiaceae. The record is from RefSeq and is a predicted model, not a curated record. The transcript has 18 exons.
UUUUCCCGUUGCAAUCUAUUUCAUAUAAUAAAAUUAGGGCUCCCCAACUUCAUCCCAUUCCGUCACUCUCUCUCGCUAGGGCCCUUACUCCGACUUCCUCCUCAUCAGUUCUCUCCCGCCGGCGAUUGGCCAAGUCGCUGUCCAUCCCACCGUCCCUUCUUUCCGCUCUCUCUCUCCCACAUGAAUUGAUUUGACUGGAGAAUUUUGUUAAUCUUGGAGACAAUUGCGCAAAAGCAACCCGUGAGAAAAUUAAGAUUGUGGUCUUUGAAGAACAUCUUGAGGAUUUACGUAAAGAAGGUCGUUUGAAAUGGGAGAAAUGCAAAUUCCAGUCUUAUCAAGCGUGAGAUCUAUUGUUGUUCUUAAUCUUCCUAACUAUGGAAGCGGAAGAAAUCCAUGGAGCAAGCUAAAGCCAGAUUAUCUAGAGAAGUAAGCGGUUGCACAACAACAGUGGAUAGGGAAAGAGCCCCCCCCCCCCCUCCUGGUUUUUUGGGAGAUCAAGGCAUAGUUACUUUUAUAUAAUACAUAUUCUGGUGGCUUCUGCGGCUCCUCUCAACUGAUGCCGAUAAAUUUUCUCUAUUGAGAAUAGGGGGUUUGUUCAGGCUUACCCCAAUGAUGAUUGUCUCGAAAAUUUUGGUCUUAAACAUGGAUGGCUUGCUUUGAUGGUUAUGGCUGAAGUAAUAUCCUCCAAACACAUAGAACAGAUGGUGCAAAGGUUGAAGAGGAGAAAUAUAUGCAGUACUUCUUUGAUGAUUGGUUUAGUUUCAUUGAUCAACAUCAACCUAAGGCUGUCAUAUUCUCCGAUGCUUGUCCGGACACAAGGUGGAUUGGGGACGAGGCUGCUGUCGCUGGAGUACCUGUUGGUCUCUCUUCAACCGCAUCAAUCAAUUACAUUAUUGGCAACACUGAUAUGGAUGCUCAAGUUGCAUAUAGUUUCCACCAUUUACGAAAUGAAAAACCUUACCUUGCUCAAGGUCCCAUUUCAAAUAAGGACUUCUGUAAUCAGGCAACACCAGGGCAGAAAGUGUAGAAAGAAACAAGGGAGGGUUGGAAUAAGAGCAAGAUGGGGAGAAAAGAAAAAAAAAGAGGAAGCAAAUAUGUGAAAAAAAAAAAGAAAAAUUGGUGGAACAGAUGUUGAAAAGCAGAAAAAGAAGAAAAAGAAGUGAAAAAAGAGAGGAAGUAGAUAUGAGGGAAAAAAAAAAGAAAAAAUGGUGGAACAGAUCUAGAAAAAGAAAAAAACAGAGAGCAGUAUAGGCUAUUGGAGAAAGGGACGGGGAGCUUCGUGAUGGAGUAGGGGGAGGGGAAGACGACGAUUUUUCGAGGUUUCAACCUAAAGCACUACUGGACGAGAAAUCAAGAGAGGAAAAUGAGAAUGCAAACUUGACUAGGGAAAACCAGCUACCUGAAUCAGCUAGUGGAGUACCCUCACUUAACAGAUCCGAAAUCGCAUGAAAAUAAGAGUGUGUAUGCUGAAAGCUGCAAAGGAACUAGAUGGAUAAUGUCAGCUUGCUAUCCAAUUUUUCUUAUUCAUGAAAUUAAGAGGUACGAGAACUAUUGUAGUGAUCAGCAAAGUAUAUCAAUCAUCAUCAGGAAUCUAACCUGGAAAAAGAUGCAAAAGUUGAGGAAACUCCUCCCCAAAAGAGAGCUCUAAAGAUAAAAAAGAAAAUGGUCCAGAUUCGGGAAAAGCACCCAGUCUAUUAUUGAAGACAACGAGUAUAGUUCCGUCUAAGACUGUCCCUUAAAGGCAGAUAGUGCUACUGAUAAGGCAGAAUGGAUAAAUACACUAAGAAAUAUCAUCAGUUCAAAAGGAGGACAAGAGAAGGGCGAAUCUGGCCCUCCAUUGCGCCAAAGUCUUUCCAUGGUUCUCUUACAAUCUGACAAGAUACUAUAUGUGAUGAAGGUACGGAUGCCCAAGUUGCAUACGGUUUCCACCAUUUAUGCAAUGAAAGACCUUACCUUACACAAGGUCCCAUUUCAAAUAAGCAGGACUUUUGUAAUCAGGCAACACUAGGGCAUAAUGUGUAGAAAGAAACAUGGAAGGGUUGGAAAAGAAGAAAAAAAAUAGAAAAACCAAGAAAAAAAAGAGGAAGCAGAUAUGUGAAAAAAAGAGAAAAAAAAAUGGUCGAAGCAUAUAGGUGGUAAAAAAGCAAAAAAACAGAGAGCAAAAUCAAAGAAAGAGACGGGGAGCUUCGUGGUGGAGUAGUGGGAGGGGAAGACGGCGAUUUGGCGAGGCUUCGACUUAAAGCACUUCUGGACCGGAAAAUAAGAAUGAAAACUUGACUAGGGAAAACCAGCUACCAGAAUCAACUAGUGGAGUACCCUCGCUUAACAGAUCCGAAAUCCAACGAAAAUAAGAGUGUGUACGCUGAACGCUGCAAAGGAACUAGAGGGAUAAUGUCAGCUUGCUAUCCAAUUUUUUUCUUAUUCAUGAAAUUAAGAGGUACAAGGACUAUUAGAGUGAUCAGCAAAGUAUAUCAAUCAUCAAUAUGAAUCUACCUGGAAAAGUCUAGUAAUCAAGAUAACAAGUAUAGUUCUGUCUAAGAUUGUCCCUGAAAGACCAUAGUGCCAUUGUUUUGAAGACUGAAAGUGCUUCUGACAAGGCAGAAUGGAUAAAUACAGUAAGAAAUAUCAUCAACUCAAAAGGAGGUCUUAUGAAGGGUGAAUCUGGCCCUCUAUUGCGCCGAAGUCUUUCCGAUUGUUCUCUUGUACGGAUGCCCAAGUUGCAUACGGUUUCCACCAUUUACGCAAUGAAAGACCUUACCUUGCACAAGGUCCCAUUUCAAAUAAGGACUUUUGUAAUCAGGCAACACUAGGGCAGAAUGUGUAGAAAGAAACAUGGAAGGGUUGGAAUAAGGGUUGGAAAAGAAGAAAAAAAAAAACAGAAAAACCAAGAAAAAAAAGAGGAAGCAGAUAUGUGAAAAAAAAAAGAAAAAAAAGAAAAAUUGGUGGAAGCAGAUAGGUAGAAAAAAAGAAAAAAAACAGAGAGCAAAAUCAAAGAAAGAGACGGGG